GAUGAACGCUAGCGGCAGGCCUAACACAUGCAAGUCGAGGGGUAGAACACUUCGGUGUUUGAGACCGGCGCACGGGUGCGUAACGCGUAUGCAAUCUACCUUGUACAGGGGAAUAGCCCAGAGAAAUUUGGAUUAAUGCCCCAUAGUAUAUAACCUUCGCAUGUUGGUUAUAUUAAAGUUCCAACGGUACAAGAUGAGCAUGCGUCCCAUUAGUUAGUUGGUAAGGUAACGGCUUACCAAGACGAUGAUGGGUAGGGGUCCUGAGAGGGAGAUCCCCACACUGGUACUGAGACACGGACCAGACUCCUACGGGAGGCAGCAGUGAGGAAUAUUGGUCAAUGGUCGCAAGACUGAACCAGCCAUGCCGCGUGCAGGAAGACGGUCCUAUGGAUUGUAAACUGCUUUUAUACAGGAAGAAACCCUCCCACGUGUGGGAGCUUGACGGUACUGUAGGAAUAAGGAUCGGCUAACUCCGUG
Molecule: ribosomal RNA, 477 nt
Filed under: uncultured bacterium
Lineage: Bacteria
Description: bacterial SSU rRNA
Rfam family: Bacterial small subunit ribosomal RNA
Source: RNAcentral